Trypanosoma congolense IL3000 is the source of this 71-nucleotide non-coding RNA. The record is from Rfam. Lineage: Eukaryota; Euglenozoa; Kinetoplastea; Trypanosomatida; Trypanosomatidae.
AGUCCCGCCAGCUACCACGUGGAGUGUAUACAUUCUGUCUUCACGUUGGUCGUUCUGCCGGGCCGAGAGCC